GAUGAAGAACGUAGCGAAAUGCGAUACGUAAUGUGAAUUGCAGAAUUCAGUGAAUCAUCGAGUCUUUGAACGCACAUUGCGCCCUCUGGUAUUCCGGAGGGCAUGCCUGUCCGAGCGUCAUUGCUGCCCUCAAGCACGGCUUGUGUGUUGGGCCCCGCCCCCCGAUCCCGGGGGGCGGGCCCGAAAGGCAGCGGCGGCACCGCGUCCGGUCCUCGAGCGUAUGGGGCUUUGUCACCCGCUCUGUAGGCCCGGCCGGCGCCUGCCGAUCAACCAAACUUUUUUCCAGGUUGACCUCGGAUCAGGUAGGGAUAACCGCUGAACUUAAGCAUAUCAAUAAGCGGAGGA
RNAcentral lists this unclassified non-coding RNA (345 nucleotides) under soil metagenome. RNAcentral's name for it is "partial contains 5.8S ribosomal RNA, internal transcribed spacer 2, and large subunit ribosomal RNA". The stretch from base 1 to 120 matches the Rfam family "5.8S ribosomal RNA", at positions 35 to 154 of the family's 154-position model. The record is from RNAcentral.